AUGUCCAUGUCACCAACAAACAAGCUAUCAUACAAAUACUUUAAUAGGUUGUAUCUAAGCUAUCCAAUAGAUGAUGAAAAAAUAAAUGUGAUUACUCUUUAUUUUGCUUUGAAGCUUGUGCAAAGGUUGUUGGUUAUUCUACAUACAGCUUUGCUCUUUCUCCAUAUUUACUACAUGACAUAUUAUCACUAUGUCCUAAAUGACAAGUUUACCAACACUUAUCUUAUAGCUGUUGGAAAUGCCCUAACCACCGCGUGGAAGCUCCACAACUACUUCCAUGGCCGGCAGGCAGCUUCACGCUUUCUCUUGGGCACUCCAACUCCCUUCCAUUACCUGGAUGGAGGAUCCAUACCCCCGUGCGUGCUUAUAUAG
This 372-nucleotide ribosomal RNA is filed under the name Triticum aestivum (bread wheat). RNAcentral's name for it is "partial small subunit ribosomal RNA". The record is from RNAcentral. Lineage: Eukaryota; Viridiplantae; Streptophyta; Magnoliopsida; Poales; Poaceae.